UGGGGAAUCUUGGACAAUGGGGGCAACCCUGAUCCAGCCAUGCCGCGUGAGUGAUGAAGGCCUUAGGGUCGUAAAGCUCUUUCGCCUGUGAAGAUAAUGACGGUAGCAGGUAAAGAAACCCCGGCUAACUCCGUGCCAGCAGCCGCGGUAAUACGGAGGGGGUUAGCGUUGUUCGGAAUUACUGGGCGUAAAGCGCACGUAGGCGGACCAGAAAGUUGGGGGUGAAAUCCCGGGGGCUCAACCCCGGAACUGCCUCCAAAACUAUUGGUCUAGAGUUCGAGAGAGGUGAGUGGAAUUCCAAGUGUAGAGGUGAAAUUCGUAGAUAUUUGGAGGAACACCAGUGGCGAAGGCGGCUCACUGGCUCGAUACUGACGCUGAGGUGCGAAAGUGUGGGGAGCAAACAGGAUUAGAUACCCUGGUAGUCCACACCGUAAAACGAUG
This 441-nucleotide ribosomal RNA is filed under the name uncultured bacterium. Its description in RNAcentral is "bacterial SSU rRNA". It matches the Rfam family "Bacterial small subunit ribosomal RNA", at positions 355 to 811 of the family's 1533-position model. The record is from RNAcentral.